CUUGUACUCCCUCCGUCCGAAAAUACUUGUCAUUGAAAUGGAUGUAUCUGGAUGUAUUUUAGUUCUAGACACAUCGUUUUGAUGACAAGUAAUUCCGGACAGAUGGAGUACUUA
Triticum aestivum (bread wheat) is the source of this 114-nucleotide non-coding RNA. The record is from Rfam. NCBI's taxonomy places the organism in Eukaryota, Viridiplantae, Streptophyta, Magnoliopsida, Poales, Poaceae.